GCCCUUAGUUUGAUCCUGGCUCAGAACAAACGCUGGCGGCGUGCCUAACACAUGCAAGUCGUACGAGAAAGGGUCCUUCGGGACCUGAGUAAAGUGGCGCACGGGUGAGUAACGCGUGGAUAAUCUGCCCUUCAGUUGGGAACAACUCAUCGAAAGGUGGGCUAAUACCGAAUAACGCUGUGAGACUUUGGUCGAUCAGCCAAAGAUGGCCUCUGCUUGCAUGCUAUCGCUGAGGGAUGAGUCCGCGUACCAUUAGCUAGUUGGUAGGGUAAUGGCCUACCAAGGCGACGAUGGUUAGCUGGUCUGAGAGGAUGAUCAGCCACACUGGAACUGAGACACGGUCCAGACUCCUACGGGAGGCAGCAGUGAGGAAUCUUGCGCAAUGGGGGCAACCCUGACGCAGCAACGCCGCGUGAGUGAGGAAGGUCUUCGGAUCGUAAAGCUCUGUCGGAUGGAAAGAACCGCAUAGGGGUUAAUAUCCCCUGUGUCUGACGGUACCAUCAAAGGAAGCACCGGCUAACUCCGUGCCAGCAGCCGCGGUAAUACGGGGGGUGCAAGCGUUGUUCGGAAUUAUUGGGCGUAAAAGAGCGUGUAGGCGGCCUGAUGUGUCAGAUGUUGAAGCCCUG
This 626-nucleotide ribosomal RNA is filed under the name uncultured bacterium. Its description in RNAcentral is "bacterial SSU rRNA". It matches the Rfam family "Bacterial small subunit ribosomal RNA", at positions 1 to 605 of the family's 1533-position model. The record is from RNAcentral.